Molecule: long non-coding RNA, 725 nt
Filed under: Parus major (Great Tit)
Lineage: Eukaryota; Metazoa; Chordata; Aves; Passeriformes; Paridae
Description: lncRNA (ENSPMJG00000009220.1)
Source: RNAcentral
AUAGAGGGUCCAAAUAACAGACCCUGCUCUUGGGAAAGUCUGCUGCUUCCCCUAGCCUAGGUUAAGGACAUCACUGGGAAACUUCCUGAUCUGGUAUGGCCCUUGGAGUAUUGCCGGUUGCUGCUUUUCCUUGUGGGUGGUGAUGAAACCACAAGGUACAGUCCAGAGUUAAUCUAAAGUGUCUUCAGAGUCUUGGCACAAUUGGGGAGGGAAUCUGGAACACAGGUCACAUUUUCCUUCCAGCCACAGGAAGCAACAUUGGAAGAAAUAGAUGGGCCCAGUGUGUUAAUACCUGACUGAGAUGUGCUGACAAUGCUGCAGCACACUGGAAGAUUUACAGAGAAGAGCCAGGUGUUCCUCAGAUGAUAGAACUCACCACGGAAACUACUGGUACAUUACUAGUCCAUAACAAAAAAGAGCGUUCUUUGAUCCUCCUUUGAUCCAGUGAAGAUUCUGGGAUGCCAUGAUGGCUGCUUGUAGUUCCACUAGUAUUUUGCUUUUUAACUCUUUGAAUGUGGACGCAUAAUUUUCAUCACCUAUACGACAACACUACAAUCGGAAGGCAAGCCUUCAGAAUAGGUCACAGAGGAGAAGGAAAACUUCCAUUAGAAGUCUCUGCUCUGGAAGACUUUCAGCCUAGUAAGUAAUGAGUAACAUUGCUGUUCCACUUCAGCAGGUUGUCAAAUUAAAUAUGUUUCUGUGAUGAUGCUUCUGGCAUAGCUGGC